This 2073-nucleotide long non-coding RNA is filed under the name Homo sapiens (human). Its description in RNAcentral is "non-protein coding lnc-PIP4P2-4:1". Lineage: Eukaryota; Metazoa; Chordata; Mammalia; Primates; Hominidae. The record is from RNAcentral.
ACUGCACCCGGCCGAAACUUUUAUUUUUAUUCCAUACUUUUGUUUUGCUUCACAUUUUAAGAAACAUGCAGAAGUUGUACAACUUACAAAAUUUUUAAGUUUUAUUUUUUUAAGUUAAAAUAAAAGAAAGGAAAAAAGAGGUAAGGAAAGAAACUAAAGUCUCUCUUGCAACCUCUACCUCCCAGGCUUGAGUGAUACUUUCACCUCAAGUAACUGGGACCACAGGGUGUACCACUAAACCCAGCUAAUUUUUUUGGUGGUUUGUUUGUUUUGUAGAGAUAGGGGUUUCACCAUGUUGUCCAGGCUGAUCUUGAACUCAUGGAAUCAAAAGCAAUCCUCCCGCCACAGCCUCCCGAAAUGCUGGGAUUGCAGCCGUGAGCCACCAUAUCUGGCCAUUUCUGAAACAAUUAAUUCACUAUGUGGUCAUGCCAGAUUUUUUCUUAGGAACUAAAUAACACAGAAACUCUUUUGAUCCAACACAUAUGAACAAAUAUUUAUAAUAGUCCAAUUUUUUACUGUAAAUUUACAUUUAAUGUAUAUUCGUAUACAAAAGUCCUAGUGCAAAUACAGUUUCAAAUGUUCAAAUGCCAUGUGAAUUUCAAAAAAAAAAAAAUACUGCUCUGAAAAAAAUUGCAUUUUCUAAAUUGCACACCAAAUUUAUUUAAAUCAUAAAAUAGCAAAACACUCUUAAAUAAAUACCUAUUUUAAAAAGUAGUUAUAAGGCAGUAAAAUAAACUAUUCAAAGGCACUUAUGCACAAUGCAGUUUCAAAUCUUUGAGUUAAGAGUACACUUAAAAGUAAUGGGUACACAGAGCUUUAUUUUGCUUUUCUGUCUGUUUUUAUAUAUGUUUGAAUAUUCUCAUAGUUAAAAAAGGUUUUUAAAAAUGUACUUCACAAGGUUAAUGCUUCCUAUCAUCACCAGUAGAGAGUAGAUGAUUGCUAUAAUUAUAUAUUACUUAUUAGUAUUUCAUUAUUGGUAUAUAUUUUAUACACAACAUAUAAUAGUUUCUAUUCCUGGAAACCAACUAUGCACAAAAUGCUUCAUAAUCACUAUUUGACAUAACAACCUUAUGAGGUUAGUGGUUUUAAUAUUGUCGUUAUAUAGAUGAAGAAAUAGCAACUCUGAGAAAUGAAGCAACUUGUUUGAGAUUACGAAUUUAGAAAAUAGGAAAUUAAUGCUUUAAAUCCAUGUGUAUAUGACUCCAAAGUCUAUGUUAUUCAUGUCUACACUACUGUGUUUCACAAAAAGCAUGGCUUGUUUUGAAUGUUCUCUACCAUUAUUUUGAAACUUACUCUCUUUCACUGAUAAUCAUUGUGUGACCUAGAGUCGGUCAUUUCUCCUCUAGGUCCACCAGUUGUGCCAUAUUUUUAAUGUGGGAAACUUUGAUUUUGAAUCAGUUGAACCAAAAUAAUUUGAAAUGGUUGGACCAAAGCUCAGAUGAGUUUGCAGAUCAUCUUAUGUGAGAGUGUUUAUAGAAAUUCCUGAAAUAGGUACUACACAGAUGAAACCAACUCAGACCUGUCAAAAUUACUCCAAAUUAUUGGGACCUAAGUAAUUAUGUUUUAUCAAAAUUGUUAAGUACAGAAUCACUUCAUAGAAGAAACGGUCAAUUAACAGACUACGAAGGUGAAAGGUGAAUAAUAAAUGAAGUUUAAGAACAUCAGUUAGAUUUAUUCAUUUAACAAACACUUAUUGAGUUAAAAUUCAAGACACUGCAGGUAUAGAGGAAAAAAAGAGUAUUCUUUCUCUGGAAGUUUACCAUCCAAAAGCAAGAAAGACUUGAAAUGAAUUACUCCAUUAUGUUGCUCAAGCAUACCAUAGAAAUACCGUAGAAAACGUGGCACCAGAAGAUACCAUAGAAGUAGCAGUGGCACCAGGGGUACCAUAGAAGAAGUGGCACCAGAAGGCAUCGCAGGACAUAGAGAGUUAAAUUAAGACACAGAGGGUAAAUAAAACCAUGUCACAUUUUCAAGGUCAAUAUUAACAAUAUCCAAUUUUUACUAAACAUUCAAAUCUACACAUUUUUGGAAACACUGUGGUGAUUCCUUAAAAAAUUAAACAUAGAAUUACCA